RNAcentral lists this ribosomal RNA (446 nucleotides) under uncultured bacterium. RNAcentral's name for it is "partial 16S ribosomal RNA". It matches the Rfam family "Bacterial small subunit ribosomal RNA", at positions 338 to 795 of the family's 1533-position model. The record is from RNAcentral.
CCUACGGGAGGCUGCAGUCGAGAAUCAUUCACAAUGGGGGAAACCCUGAUGGUGCGACGCCGCGUGGGGGAAUGAAGGUCUUCGGAUUGUAAACCCCUGUCAUGUGGGAGCAAAUUAAAAAGAUAGUACCACAAGAGGAAGAGACGGCUAACUCUGUGCCAGCAGUCGCGGUCAUACAGAGGUCUCAAGCGUUGUUCGGAAUCACUGGGCGUAAAGCGUGCGUAGGCUGUUUCGUAAGUCGUGUGUGAAAGGCGCGGGCUCAACCCGCGGACGGCACAUGAUACUGCGAGACUAGAGUAAUGGAGGGGGAACCGGAAUUCUCGGUGUAGCAGUGAAAUGCGUAGAUAUCGAGAGGAACACUCGUGGCGAAGGCGGGUUCCUGGACAUUAACUGACGCUGAGGCACGAAGGCCAGGGGAGCGAAAGGGAUUAGAUACCCUUGUAGUC